This 360-nucleotide unclassified non-coding RNA is filed under the name soil metagenome. RNAcentral describes it as "partial contains 5.8S ribosomal RNA, internal transcribed spacer 2, and large subunit ribosomal RNA". The stretch from base 1 to 120 matches the Rfam family "5.8S ribosomal RNA", at positions 35 to 154 of the family's 154-position model. The record is from RNAcentral.
GAUGAAGAACGCAGCGAAACGCGAUACGUAAUGUGAAUUGCAGAAUUCAGUGAAUCAUCGAAUCUUUGAACGCACAUUGCGCCCGCCAGUAUUCUGGCGGGCAUGCCUGUCUGAGCGUCGUUUCGACCCUCGCGCCCGGCUUCUGUCGGGGGCGGUGUUGGGGAUCGGCCACACCCUUCAGUGGGAGGCCGGCCCCUAAAUUCAGUGGCGACCACGCUGUAGCCUCCCCUGCGUAGUACUAAAACCACCUCGCAGGCGGAGAGCGGUGCGGCCCGCCGUAAAACCCCCCAACUUUUACAAGGUCGACCUCAGAUCAGGUAGGAAUACCCGCUGAACUUAAGCAUAUCAAUAAGCGGAGGA